UGGGGAAUUUUGCACAAUGGGGGAAACCCUGAUGCAGCGACGCCGCGUGAUUUAGAAGGCAUUCGGGUUGUCAAAAUCUUUUCUAUGGGAAGAAAAUGACAGUACCAUAGGAGGAAGCCCCGGCUAAAUACGUGCCAGCAGCCGCGGUAAUACGUAUGGGGCGAGCGUUGUCCGGAAUUAUUGGGCGUAAAGGGUACGUAGGCGGUCUAUUAAGUCAGGUGUGAAAGCGUGAGGCUUAACCUCAUUAAGCACUUGAAACUGAUAGACUUGAGUGAAGGAGAGGAAAGUGGAAGUCCUAGUGUAGCGAUGAAAUGCGUAGAUAUUAGGAGGAAUACCGGUGGCGAAGGCGACUUUCUGGACUUUUACUGACGCUCAGGUACGAAAGCGUGGGGAGCAAACAGG
Molecule: ribosomal RNA, 402 nt
Filed under: Verrucomicrobiota bacterium
Lineage: Bacteria; Pseudomonadati; Verrucomicrobiota
Description: Verrucomicrobia bacterium partial 16S ribosomal RNA
Rfam family: Bacterial small subunit ribosomal RNA
Source: RNAcentral